Molecule: long non-coding RNA, 1058 nt
Filed under: Homo sapiens (human)
Lineage: Eukaryota; Metazoa; Chordata; Mammalia; Primates; Hominidae
Description: HSALNT0064820
Source: RNAcentral
GUGAUCUAUACCUUCUGGGUUCAAGUGAUUCUCUUGCCUCAGCCUCCUGAGUAGCUGGGAAUACAGGCAUGUGCCACCACGCCCGGCCAAUUUUUAAAAAUAUUUUUAGUAGAAACGGGGUUUCACUGUGUUGGCCAGGCUGGUCUCGAACUCUUGACCUCAGGUGAUCCACCCGCCUCAACCUCCCAAAGUGCUGGAUUACAGGUGUGAGCCACCGUGUGGCCGUCAAUAAAUAUUCUUAUGCCACAUGAUUUUCAUGGGUACAUAGAAUUCUCUCAAACAGAAAAUGGCAUACAUUUCUUAACCAGUGCCUUAGUGUUCUACACGUAGUAACCAGUGCUUCUUGCAGAGGCUACCUGCGAUUAUAGAAAAUUUUAUGAGUACGCCUCCACAGUGAGUCUUACCAUAUAUGGCUUUGUAGGAUCCCUGCAUGUUAUUGGAAGACAUCUGAGAUCAAGAGUUAUUCUAUGUAUUAAAAUAAUUAAGAUUUUCUUCUCUGUAGAUUUUCCCAAUUCCCCUUUUUGACAUUCGUCAUAGUAACUAAUAUUUAUAUCACAUUUUAAUGUAACCUCUGUCAGUUCUUGGAAUAACAUUUGUGCAGCAAUUAAUUUUCCUAAAAGACACAAUGCAGACUGCAAAACAAUUUUAUUACAAUGUCACUGAUGUGAGUCAUUCAUUUGGGAGAUACUUAUUGAGUGCCUGAAAUAAAACCAUCUAGGCUGGCAAUAUUCUACACUGAGUUUCCAUAAUGUGCCCCGCCAGAAAACACUAAAUCUUAAAAGGUUUGAGAAGAUAGAAAUAAAAGGGGAGAGCUUUCAUAACGGCUAGGGAAGAGUAAGCUGAGCUCACAAGAUGUGUAAGAGUGGGAGGUAAAGUCUGAAAGAUAGAUCAUUGCUGGGUGGAAGAGGCCCUUGAAUGCCUCAGUCUAUCUUUUAGUCUAUCGUAGCCUGGGCUCCACCCUGAAUCGUGAGAGGAGGGUUUGGAGCAGUAGAGUGACAUGGUGGCCUGACACACUGAUGUGGCAAAAGUCAGUUCAUAGUCUUCAUGUCUCUUAAAAC